RNAcentral lists this ribosomal RNA (375 nucleotides) under Triticum aestivum (bread wheat). RNAcentral's name for it is "partial small subunit ribosomal RNA". Lineage: Eukaryota; Viridiplantae; Streptophyta; Magnoliopsida; Poales; Poaceae. The record is from RNAcentral.
AUGGCUGCGUUCAACCACCUGCUCUUCUUCCUCGUCGUCGCCCUUGCCGCCAGCAGCAUCACCAGCGCAGCCGCGGCUGCGGGCUAUGACGACGACGUGCAGCUGCGGAAGGUGGCCAUGUCGCAGGCCGUCAAGGUCCUGUCCCGCUACAGCCCGGGGACCACCGACCAGGAGACGCUGAAGCGGGCGUUGGCGGUGGUGAACCGGGAGGCGCAGCGGUACUGGAAGCCCAUCUUCAACAACGUCAACAGGGUGAUGGACAGCGGCGCCGACCACCGCAGCAAGGAGGCGGCGUUCGCCGUGGCCAAGGAGCUGCUCAACCGCGAGCUCGGCCAAGGCCCCAACGCCGUCAAGAUCGACUUCGAAUAUGCGUGA